CGCCGCCGGACAGCGGGCGGAAAUACGUCACGGCGGGAGCGCUUCCGAGAUCACCGAGCUCGAGACCGGAGCCAGUUCCGUUAAAACCGUUGGGAAUCAGCCCCGGCGCGCGGCCAUUAAAGUUUGAGAAGGAUAAGGGCAGCUCGGAGGUGUCAGUGUUGCCGUUGAACAGGGGAAACUAUGGAGCCAUGAGGGAGGAGCUGGCCAAAGUUGACUGGACGGAUAUCCCAGCAGAAAAGACCGUGGAACAGCAAUGGCAGUUUGAGAAGGAGAAGGGCAGCUCGGAGGUGUCAGUGUUGCCGUUGAACAGGGGAAACUAUGGAGCCAUGAGGGAGGAGCUGGCCAAAGUUGACUGGAUGGAUAGCCCAGCAGAAAAGACAGUGGAACAGCAAUGGCAGGGAUGGACAUCAUAAGGUUGGACAAGCAAGGAAAUUACCAGUAUACUUCGAGAUGGUCUGAAUAAGCAGUGACAUUCUCUGUGAGAGAGAUCGUGGGACUGAAUCAGCUGUAAUAAAAACAUUACCGUAUUGAUGGAACUGGACAAGCGGAGACAUUAUCUGUGUUGUCGGUGGCAUGUCAGAGUAAGCAAAAUAACACCAGUGUUGUCAGUGAUGUGCCUGUCGACCUGAAAGGACGGAAAUAACACCACUUUGUCUCCUCACAGCCCAGGAACGGAGUCAAAUUAUCUGUCUCGUAAAUGUAAUCCUUUUCAAUCAGUUAUGUAUAUAUAUGUCUACUAAUACGGCUAUCUAUCUAUUUGUGUGCACACACUGGCGAUAAACUGAAAACAUCUUUCUUUGAAAUAGCCGUGGUGGCAAUUUCUGUGGAAUGUGCAGAAUAAUAUCUAGAAAACUGAUGUAUACUUGAAAUGAUUGUGAAAACCGCGAAAGGUAAAAUCCUGCAAGAAUAUCAAUGCGGAAUGUCCUACUUGAUUUGUUUGUUUUAUUCACAUUUCCUAUUUAAUUUUUGUUUAUUGGUUUUGACUGUCCAUCGUUUCCGCCGAUGGCGUGCUAUUUGAAAUGAAGAAUUUCCUAGUGGAAAAGCCGUUGCACUGGGACAGUUCCACUCUCUACGUCACACAUAUCCUGAUCCCAUGGCAGGGGAAAUCGGCGAGAUUGGAGACCAUCUUGGCUGCAGCGGAUAGCACCCUGCGCCUUGUUUUACCCUUCGCUCUCCAUUAAUCGCUGCAACACAGCAUUCCGAGCUAUUAUAUCUUGUAGUGGAUCUUCUCUGUCCCGUCCGGGAUCAGAUUCCCUUGUUGGCGUAAAGAGUUCUCUCUCUCUCACCAGGUUCGAAUGAUCCCCGCUCCUCUCACCUGGUUUAGCCCGCCUGCCGAAGCUGUGCACCGGCGCGUUUCCAAAGUUGCAUGCACACAGAUACUUGGAACCACCAGUGAAAGCUGGGUGGCAGGGUGAGACCAGAUGUGGGGGAGCUGCCCUUAGGUGGGUCACGACAAGCCCACGACCAGAAGUGCCAAACAAAAUUUUGCUUAUAACUUUUUUUUUAAAAGGAAGAAUAUUGGCUGUUUUAUUUUGGCACGAAGUUAACGUGCCAAAUCUGAGAAAUUUUAAUAAAUAACCAUUUUCAUAAUGUGAUCAAUCAGCACCAAAUAAUCAACAGUUCUUAUCUUCGGCAGAACACAAUGAUUCCCUAUUAAAAGAAGGAAGGCUUUUGGAAGAUAAGAUAAAGUAAUUGUAUCCCUGUUCCUGAAAUUGGAAGCCGUUAGUAAUUCAAUGCUUGUUGUAGUUGAUGAUAAUUUGCAUAAUGAAUAUUUAUGGUAUUUAUUUCAUCAGUACGCGAUCAAUAUAUUCACACCAUCAAUGAAAGUAAUUGUAUUCGACGCAGAUACACCACCUGAAUAUUUUGCAGAACUGGCAGAACAACACAUUCCAGCAAAAAUUGUCCGGUCGGCCAGAAGCCCGUGGACAUCUCCCACUGAGGACCAGACAAACUAUCCUCUCACGCUUGAAGUUUGGCGCGGUCUACUGUACUUUCACUCAAAUGACUCGAAAUGACUAGAGGAAGCGAAAAAAAAACAUUAUUCUAUACACCCCUCCUUCAAUAAAGUGUAUCCAAUUUCAACUGCGGAGCUAAUCUCCCCCUCCAUGCGAAAAGUGAUUGCCGAUGUGACAAAAUAAAUCUGUUGACAAUAGGUGCAGAAGUAGACCAUUCGGCCCCUCGAGUCUGCACCGCCAUUCUGAGAUCAUGGCUGAUCAUUCACUAUCAAUACCCAGUCCCUGCCUUGUCCCCAUAUCCCUUGAUUCCCCUAUCCAUCAGAUAUCUAUCUAGCUCCUUCUUGAACGCAUCCGGAGAAUUGGCCUCCACCGUCUUCCGAGGCAGUGCAUUCCACACCUCCACAACCCUCUGGGAGAAGAAGUUUUUCCUCAGCUCUGUUUUAAAUAACUGACCUCUUAUUAUCAAUCCAUGCCCUCUGGUACUGGACUCUCCCAACAUCUGGAACAUAUUUCCUGCCUCAAUCCUAUCAAAUCCUUUAAUUAUCUUAAACGUUUCAAUCCGAUCCCCUCUCAAUCUCCUCAAUUCCAGCGUGUACCAGCCCAAUCUCUCCAAUCUCUCUGUGUAAGACAGCACUGCCAUCCCAGGAAUCAACCUAGUGAAUCUACGCUGCACUUCCUCAAUUGCCAGAAUGUCCUUCCUUAAACCUGGAGACCAAAACUGUACACAAUAUUCCAGGUGUGGUCUCACCAGGGCCCUGUACAAAUGCAAAAGGACAUCCUUGCUCUUGUACUCAAUUCCCCUUGUAACAAAAGCGAACAUUCCAUUUGCCCUCUUCACUGCCUGUUGCACUUGCUCAUUCACCUUCAUUGACUGGUGAACUAGGACUCCUAGGUCUCUUUGCAUUUCUCCCUUACCUAACUCUCCCCUGUUCAGACAAUAUUCUGCCCUCUUGUUCCUGCUUCCAAAGUGGAUAACUUCACAUUUAUCCAAUAUAAAUGUGUUGGAAGGUGAUUGUUCAUGUUGAUUGCCUGUGUUAGAAAGACCACUGAUCAAAAAAUGUCCCAUUUCAGCAGCUGGAGCCAGGUGUCUUGGAAAUUAAAUUGGCAAGCCUCAUAUUAUUUUUUUGUUUAAAAGUUAAUACUUGUAAUUUCCGUUGGGGGGAGAUGACUUUAUCACCCAGUGACAGAGUGAGAAAAACAUUUUAAUGUAAUUGUUUGUGUAGCUCGUUGUUCCUAAUCCGACUGACACGAUAACCACACUAAUUGUCUCUGUGGAAUUACACUGAAUUGUACAUAAUUCUGUAAAAUCGAUCACCGGUCUAUAUGAACAUUUGAAACUUUCUGUAAACCUGAACUCAGCUUCUGACUGAAUAUGCGAUAUCCAGCGAUUUACUACAUCGCAGCUGUUUUCUACCCUACACUUAUAGCGAUCGGUAUCCCAGGUAAUAUAUGGAGCUGCUCGCUAUUUGUAUAGCGCCGUCGACUUGUUUUUGUUCCGCUGCAUUGUUUGACUUUUAAUGAGCACAAAUGCUACCAUCGCCUGAAAUGUGAUUCAAGAAUUGAGGAUUCAAGCAUCUGAUAUGCUUUCUUUUUUAUUUCCCAUACUUUUUCGAUGUGAUUUUUGUUUUCCUUUUGUCAGUUAUAUUGGCGUCGUAUCUGCCACACUUAGAUAUAUGACCUUGAUCGGUUUUAUGAAACGACAGUGGUCACUUUUCCUGAUUGGCUGUUUUUUCAAAUGAGGGGCCAGUCAAAUAUCGACACGCAGGACUGUUUUUGUUUUCAUAAUCACUACAUUAUAAUGUAUGUAUUAAUGCU
Molecule: long non-coding RNA, 3770 nt
Organism: Hypanus sabinus (Atlantic stingray)
Lineage: Eukaryota; Metazoa; Chordata; Chondrichthyes; Myliobatiformes; Dasyatidae
Exons: 4
Source: RefSeq, a predicted model, not a curated record